UGGGGAAUAUUGGACAAUGGGCGCAAGCCUGAUCCAGCAAUGCCGCGUGAGUGAUGAAGGCCUUAGGGUUGUAAAGCUCUUUUACCCGGGAUGAUAAUGACAGUACCGGGAGAAUAAGCCCCGGCUAACUCCGUGCCAGCAGCCGCGGUAAUACGGAGGGGGCUAGCGUUGUUCGGAAUUACUGGGCGUAAAGCGCACGUAGGCGGUUUUUUAAGUCAGAGGUGAAAGCCCGGAGCUUAACUCCGGAAUUGCCUUUGAGACUGGGAGACUUGAAUCCAGGAGAGGUGAGUGGAAUUCCGAGUGUAGAGGUGAAAUUCGUAGAUAUUCGGAAGAACACCAGUGGCGAAGGCGGCUCACUGGACUGGUAUUGACGCUGAGGUGCGAAAGCGUGGGGAGCAAACA
Molecule: ribosomal RNA, 402 nt
Filed under: uncultured Sphingomonas sp.
Lineage: Bacteria; Pseudomonadati; Pseudomonadota; Alphaproteobacteria; Sphingomonadales; Sphingomonadaceae
Description: bacterial SSU rRNA
Rfam family: Bacterial small subunit ribosomal RNA
Source: RNAcentral